Long non-coding RNA from Arachis stenosperma, 1304 nucleotides. RefSeq lists it as uncharacterized. The transcript is spliced from 3 exons. The record is from RefSeq and is a predicted model, not a curated record. NCBI's taxonomy places the organism in Eukaryota, Viridiplantae, Streptophyta, Magnoliopsida, Fabales, Fabaceae.
GCUCCCUAACCCCUCUUCCUUCUAGUCUCCAGCCUCCACAACGCGAAGCAGCAGUCCAGAGUCCAGACUCUAGCCCCAAUUCGUCUCAACCUCAUCGAAGCCGCCGGCGCAUGUUCGUCCAGCCACCGCCGCCGUCCCAACUUCGAGCUUCGAAGGCAACGGCGCAACGUCCAUCCAGCCACCGCCGUUUGAGCUUCAAAAAUCGAAGCCACCGUCGCCGGUCUCGCCUCUUGCCUCCGUCGCGCAGCCACUUCCUGCCGGUGCCAGCUCUGUUUCACACCACCACGUCGGCCACUGUCUUCCCAGCCACCGUCCCCAGCCACUUCCACACCCUCACCAGCUCUGCCCUGUUCCAGCCUUCCAGGAUCCAACUUCUAGUCUAGCUGUCAUUGGAGCCAUUCACACAACCACUUUGGCCAAGCUCUCUGCUAAAAGGCAAGAAGUUCUUUCUCCAGCAGGCAACAUUGUUGAACAGAUGCCAUUCUUGAGUACUUCCUAGAAGCUGCAGUGAACAAUUUCAGAAUUAGUCGCAUUGAUCAAAAUCUGUGGCAUCCUGAUUAUCGCAGCAACAGAGUUGUUCUUUAUGUUCUUGUGAAGAAAUGAAGGUUUCAGAAUUAAUGAAACUAUGUUACUUUAUAGUUUAUACUCUACUAGAGUGUGACCCUCCUAUGCUAGGAUUCAUUGUAAAAGUUAUUCUCCUUCCAUGUAUUAUUUUUUGAUAUCAUGCUCAUUUUGAGAAGCCUAACAAUUUUGUUUUGACAGAUAAAAGUGGACUAUGAUCUGUGAACCAUUUUCAGUGAAUUCAUUCACAACCACUGUUAAGAAGACACAAUUUUGUAAUGCUUGAUGGAACAACUAAAGCUCCAAUUCUUGCUUGGUUAUCAUCAAAGGAUAAUCUCUGAAUCCAAAAUAUUUAAUAUAGAACAAAGGUUACUUAAAUUCUAACAUGUAAAUUGUAAUACAAAGUAAAGUGUUGAUUAAAUAAUUCCUAAAGCUAGAUACAUAUGUACUUUCUAAAUUAUCUAUCAAAAAGAUUUUAAAAUUAAAAGUUAGUCACAAAAAUGACUAGUUUAUAGUUCAAAUAAUUUUCAUGUGUUUAUUUAUAUUUUAUUUAUUAUUUUAUUAUAAAACGGUUUUUUCGGUUCAACUAUGGUUAAACCGGUUGAACCUAUGAACCAGUAAACCAGUCAUUAGAGCGGUUCGAUGACCGGUUCGGUUUUCAGAACCUUGGAAAUAACCAAUGCUAUCUUGAGUAACAACAUUCUUCUGCAAAUUAUAAAAAAAAAAAAAGCACUAUGCAUCAA